AUACAGAGGGUGCGAGCGUUAAUCGGAAUGACUGGGCGUAAAGCGCGCGUAGGCGGCUUAUUAAGUCAGAUGUGAAAUCCCCGGGCUCAACCUGGGAACUGCAUCUGAUACUGGUAAGCUAGAGUUUGGGAGAGGGAAGUAGAAUUUCAGGUGUAGCGGUGAAAUGCAUAGAGAUCUGAAGGAAUACCAGUGGCGAAGGCGACUUCCUGGCCAAAAACUGACGCUGAGGUGCGAAAGCGUGGGUAGCAAACGGGAAUAGAAACCCCUGUAGUCC
This 274-nucleotide ribosomal RNA is filed under the name uncultured bacterium. RNAcentral describes it as "partial 16S ribosomal RNA". It matches the Rfam family "Bacterial small subunit ribosomal RNA", at positions 523 to 796 of the family's 1533-position model. The record is from RNAcentral.